RNAcentral lists this ribosomal RNA (426 nucleotides) under uncultured Veillonella sp. RNAcentral describes it as "bacterial SSU rRNA". It matches the Rfam family "Bacterial small subunit ribosomal RNA", at positions 356 to 774 of the family's 1533-position model. The record is from RNAcentral. Lineage: Bacteria; Bacillati; Bacillota; Negativicutes; Veillonellales; Veillonellaceae.
AGGGAAUCUUCCACAAUGGACGAAAGUCUGACGGAGCAACGCCGCGUGAGUGAUGACGGCCUUCGGGUUGUAAAGCUCUGUUAAUCGGGACGAAAGGCCUUCUUGCAAAUAGUUAGAAGGAUUGACGGUACCGGAAUAGAAAGCCACGGCUAACUACGUGCCAGCAGCCGCGGUAAUACGUAGGUGGCAAGCGUUGUCCGGAAUUAUUGGGCGUAAAGCGCGCGCAGGCGGAUUGGUCAGUCUGUCUUAAAAGUUCGGGGCUUAACCCCGUGAUGGGAUGGAAACUGCCAAUCUAGAGUAUCGGAGAGGAAAGUGGAAUUCCUAGUGUAGCGGUGAAAUGCGUAGAUAUUAGGAAGAACACCAGUGGCGAAGGCGACUUUCUGGACGAAAACUGACGCUGAGGCGCGAAAGCCAGGGGAGCGAACG